UGGGGAAUCUUGCGCAAUGGACGAAAGUCUGACGCAGCGACGCCGCGUGGGUGAUGAAGGCCUUCGGGUUGUAAAGCCCUGUGGGGAGGGACGAAGAAGUAGAGGCUAAUACCCGCUAUGAUGACGGUACCUCUUUAGCAAGCACCGGCCAACUUCGUGCCAACAGCCGCGGUAAUACAGAGGGUGCCAACGUUGUUCGGAAUUACUGGGCGUAAAGCGUGUGUAGGCGGCCUCGCAAGUCGGAUGUGAAAGCCCCGGGCUCAACCCGGGAAGUGCACUCGAUACUGCUUGGCUAGAGUCUCGGAGAGGUUGGUGGAAUUCUCGGUGUAGAGGUGAAAUUCGUAGAUAUCGAGAGGAACACCGGUGGCGAAGGCGGCCAACUGGACGAAGACUGGCGCUGAGACACGAAAGCGUGGGGAGCAAA
RNAcentral lists this ribosomal RNA (424 nucleotides) under uncultured bacterium. RNAcentral's name for it is "bacterial SSU rRNA". It matches the Rfam family "Bacterial small subunit ribosomal RNA", at positions 355 to 772 of the family's 1533-position model. The record is from RNAcentral.